GAGUUCAAAGAUGAAAGAGUUGAUUACUAGAUUACAAGGUUGAAUAUUUUAGAUGAUCAAUGUUCUGCCUACUCUUGUCAGAUUAGAAAGUUAUAGAUUAUGUCUUUUGUAACAUAGAUUUUCUUUCUUUCUUCCUUUGUUUUUGAAGAAGAAAAAAAAAAAAAAAAACUGAACGUGUCUGGGAGCCGUUAAGAGUGCGGAACCGGGAGGUCGUUGGAACGAAAGCAAUCUCUUGUCCACAUCCCAAGUUGGAAGAACCACAAAUGGAUUCUUCUUGGUUUCUUGUUCUAUAUCUGCCUUCUCUUUGUUUCACUGUCUCAUCACCAAGAAAUAGAAUGUUGAUAUCAUUUGACUGCUGCACAAAGUGAUUCAUCCUGCGCUUUCUUGAACUUUGAUUGGAUAUCUGUUAUUGGGUUCUGUCAGCGGCUCAGCCUUGAACAAAGAAACGAAAAAUUGAGGGAUUUGAAAGAGGAUUAGAGAUGGGUUUUUUGAGCACUGUAAUAGGUUGGUUUGGAUUUGGAAUAGGAAUCGCAAUGGGGCUUGUGAUUGGUUAUUAUCUGUUCAUCUAUUUCCAACCAAGUGAUGUUAAGGAUCCUGUAAUUCGUCCAUUGGUUGAGCAAGACUCUCAAACUUUGGAACGGUUGCUUUCAGAUAUACCUAUCUGGGUGAAAAAUCCAGACCAUGACCGUCUUGAUUGGCUUAACAAAUUUAUUGAAACAAUGUGGCCCUAUUUAGACAAGGCAAUCUGCAAGACUGCAAAAAAUAUAGCAGAGCCCAUCAUAGCUGAGCAAAUUCCAAAAUACAAAAUAAAGUCAAUUGAAUUUAAAACACUUACCUUGGGCUCCCUACCUCCUACUUUUCAAGGAAUGAAAGUCUACAUCACUGAGGACAAAGAGUUAAUAAUGGAACCAUCCAUUAAGUGGGCGGGAAAUCCAAACAUCACUGUUGAAGCUAAGGUGUUUGGGUUUAGAGCCACUGUUCAGGUGGUUGAUUUGCAAGUAUUUGCUUCUCCUCGUAUCACCUUGAAGCCAUUGGUUCCAAGCUUUCCUUGUUUUGCUAAAAUACUAGUAUCUCUCAUGGAGGAGCCUCAUGCUGACUUUGGUUUGAAAGUACUAGGGGCAGAUACUAUGUCCAUUCCUGGCUUGUAUGGGUUUGUGCAGGAGCUUAUCAAAGAGCAGGUUUCUAAGAUGUAUCUGUGGCCCAAAGCCCUUGAGGUACCAAUUAUGGAUCCUACAAAAGCCUCAAAGCGGCCUGUUGGAAUUCUAAAUGUGAAGGUUGUGAGAGCACUGAAGCUAAAAAAGAAAGAUCUUUUGGGGGCAUCAGAUCCUUAUGUAAAACUAAAACUCACUGACGACAAAUUUCAAUCCAAGAAAACAAACGUGAGGCAUAAGAGCUUGAACCCUGAAUGGAAUGAAGACUUCAAGUUUACCAUUAGAGACCCAGAAUCUCAAGCUUUGCAAGUCAGUGUAUAUGACUGGGAAAAGGUUGGAAGGCACGACAUGAUGGGCCUAAAUGUAAUACGAUUGGAGGAACUUGCUCCUGAUGAGCCGAAAGUGAUGACGCUUGAUCUGCUUAAAAAUCUUGAUGCAAACGAUGUUCCAGAUGGAAAGUCACAUGGACAGAUUGUUCUUGAAUUGAUUUACAAACCUUUCAAGGAUGAUGAGAUGCCAGACGAAAGUAAAGGUCCAAAUGCAGUAGAAAAGGCUCCUGAAGGAACUCCUGCUGGUGGAGGUUUGCUUGUAGCAAUUGUCCAUGAAGCACAAGAUCUAGAGGGGAAGCACCAUACAAAUCCUCAUGUGCGCCUACUUUUCAGAGGGGAGGAGAGAAAAACUAAGCCUGUAAAGAAAAACAGAGAUCCAAGAUGGGAAGAAGAGUUUCAGUUCAUGCUGGAAGAACCACCAAUUAAUGACAGAAUUCAUGUGGAAGUUAUUAGUACCUCUUUGAGGUUGGGCCUACUAUAUCCCAAGGAAGCUCUGGGUUAUGUGGAUAUAAACCUUGCAGACGUCAUUAGAAACAGGAGAAUCAAUGGGACAUACAACCUCAUUGACUCAAAGAAUGGCCGGAUUCAGAUAGAAUUGCAAUGGAGGACAUCGUGAUGAUGACACUGAUUUUGGGCAGUUGUAUAUUAUGGGAAAACACUGGAUUUAAAAGCUGCCUUCAGUCAACAAACUCAACUGCAACUUCUCGGUAGAAGCAGAAACAACUCGGUUCACUGGCAGCUGUGUUGCCACAUGGGGAGGUCUCCUUGCUGUGAAAAAGCUCACACAAACAAAGGAGCUUGGAGCAAAGAAGAAGAC
RNA transcript from Diospyros lotus (date-plum), 2297 nucleotides. It is a transcript of the gene named synaptotagmin-2-like, with no coding region annotated. Lineage: Eukaryota; Viridiplantae; Streptophyta; Magnoliopsida; Ericales; Ebenaceae. The transcript is spliced from 13 exons. The record is from RefSeq and is a predicted model, not a curated record.